This 800-nucleotide ribosomal RNA is filed under the name uncultured bacterium. Its description in RNAcentral is "bacterial SSU rRNA". It matches the Rfam family "Bacterial small subunit ribosomal RNA", at positions 8 to 818 of the family's 1533-position model. The record is from RNAcentral.
AGAGUUUGAUCAUGGCUCAGGAUGAACGCUGGCGGCGUGCUUAACACAUGCAAGUCGAGCGGGGCGGCGUGAAGUUUCCGGACGGAUCGGCGCCCAGCGGCGGACGGGUGAGUAACGCGUGGGGAACCUGCCCUGUACAGGGGGAUAACAGCUGGAAACGGCUGCUAAUACCGCAUAAGCGCACAGCGCCGCAUGGCGCAGUGUGAAAAGCUCCGGCAGUGCAGGAUGGACCCGCGUCUGAUUAGCUGGUUGGCGGGGUAAGGGCCCACCAAGGCGACGAUCAGUAGCCGGUCUGAGAGGACGGACGGCCACAUUGGGACUGAGACACGGCCCAAACUCCUACGGGAGGCAGCAGUGGGGAAUAUUGCACAAUGGGGGGAACCCUGAUGCAGCAACGCCGCGUGAGUGAAGGAGUAUUUCGGUAUGUAAAGCUCUAUCAGCAGGGAAGAAGGAGACGGUACCUGACUAAGAAGCCCCGGCUAACUACGUGCCAGCAGCCGCGGUAAUACGUAGGGGGCAAGCGUUAUCCGGAUUUACUGGGUGUAAAGGGAGCGCAGACGGCUGUGCAAGUCUGGAGUGAAAGGCCGGGGCUUAACCCCGGGGCUGCUUUGGAAACUGUACGGCUGGAGUGCUGGAGAGGCAAGCGGAAUUCCUAGUGUAGCGGUGAAAUGCGUAGAUAUUAGGAGGAACACCAGUGGCGAAAGGCGGCUUGCUGGACAGUAACUGACGUUGAGGCUCGAAAGCGUGGGGAGCAAACAGGAUUAGAUACCCUGGUAGUCCACGCCGUAACGAUGAUGCUA